UACGUAGGGGGCGAGCGUUGUCCGGAAUUAUUGGGCGUAAAGCGCGUGUAGGCGGUUUGUCGCGUCGAGGGUGAAAGGUGUGGGCUCAACCCGCACACUGCUCUCGAUACGGGCAGACUCGAGUCCGGAAGAGGAGAGUGGAAUACCGUGUGUAGCGGUGAAAUGCAUAGAUAUGACUUAGAACACCAAUUGCGAAGGCAGCUUGCUAAACAAAUAUUGACGCUGAGGCACGAAAGCGUGGGGAUCAAACAGG
This 253-nucleotide ribosomal RNA is filed under the name uncultured bacterium. RNAcentral describes it as "partial 16S ribosomal RNA". It matches the Rfam family "Bacterial small subunit ribosomal RNA", at positions 524 to 776 of the family's 1533-position model. The record is from RNAcentral.